RNAcentral lists this RNase P RNA (348 nucleotides) under Scardovia wiggsiae. RNAcentral's name for it is "Bacterial RNase P class A". It matches the Rfam family "Bacterial RNase P class A". Rfam says of the family: Ribonuclease P (RNase P) is a ubiquitous endoribonuclease, found in archaea, bacteria and eukarya as well as chloroplasts and mitochondria. Lineage: Bacteria; Bacillati; Actinomycetota; Actinomycetes; Bifidobacteriales; Bifidobacteriaceae. The record is from RNAcentral.
UGUGGUUGCGGUACUGUUUUACAGUACUGAGGAACUUCCGGGCUCCACAGAGCACAAUGGCGGAUAACGUCCGCCCAGGGCGACCUGAGAGAUAGCGCAACAGAAAGCAGACCGCCCCCAUACCCGGUAUGGGAGUAAGGGUGAAACGGCGGUGUAAGAGACCACCGGAUCUGCGGUAACGCAGACCGCACGGCAAGCCUCAUUGGGAGCAAGGCCAAGCAGAAGGCAUAUGGGCUGCUCGCUCACGUCUUCGGGUAGGCUGCUGGAGCUUAGCGGCAACGUUAAGUCGAGAUGGAUAACCACACGUAUGCUUUGCAUAACGACAGAACCCGGGGUAUAAGAGGUCUC